UUUAAAAAGUGGUCAAAAUCUUUCGUCAGAUGAAACUGAAAUUUGCGGCCAAAAUCGGUCCUUACCGGACCUACUCCUUUACAUAUUUACACUAUUUACACAAUGUUCGCCUAUUGGUCUUUUCCUGCUUACGUAGAAACAUACAAAGAAAGGACUUCCAAUGAUCCAAUGCAACAUUUCCAAUUAUUUUGUUCCCAACUGAAUGAUAAUAUAUUUGCAGUAAGUUCCUGUCAGUAAUCUAUGAAAUCAAUUGAUAAAAUUUCCGCAUAUGUACCAUAACAAGUAUAAAAAAAAAAUGAACUCGAUGGAAAAUUGAAAAAAGAAAGCCCAUAAAAACUGUCAAAAUCAGGACCAUAGUAAGUAAUAUUUGUUUUUGUGAAUAUCAGAGUACUGCUGACUGUUGAAGACCUAAAUUAACUGUAAAGAUCAAGGACAACAAUAAAUGCUUUAAUUCUUCAUUACAGAAAAGCUAUAUUUCACUUUUGGUUUUAAAUACUUCACCAAUCGAAUCAAUCUCAUGUUUUUUUUCCUAAAUUGACAGUGGAAUUUUUAUUUAUAAAGUAUUGCAUUGUCUAAAGGAAGCCCUUUCCGUGCAUUUUUCGUAGCAGAACUGUCUAUGAUGCACUUUACGACGGUCGAUCAAAAUCUUGUAUUGUAAAUGUACAGUUUUUGAAGCAGAAAAGUAAUAGUAGCAUAUAAAAUAAUUUGAGUUCAAGAGCAAGGACUAAAUACGACCAAUAUCAGUCCAAUUCCGUCGAAAACAUUUAAAACAGAAACUUACUUAUUCAUUAAAAACUUGAAAAUAUUUUAUUUCAUUAAUUGCCAAAUUUGAUUAAAAUAUAUUUAUAAUAAAAUCCAAACUGUGACAAAAAAAUAAUUCCUGUUACGUUUUAAGGUUUGUAUACUGGUUUAACAUACAAGAAAUAUUUGAGUCAGAAAAGAUAACAUUCUUUUUAGAUUUUAAAACAAUCAUUUGGUAUACAAGUGAAUCAAAUUUUGAUGAUCGGAUCGACCUUUGACAAAAGAUCUUAAAACAAAACCAACCUUCAGACUGUAUCAAACUUUUAUCAGACAUUUAGGAGAUGAUUGCAUGCCACUUUGUCGUGUUUAUGCAUAGACAUCCCACAUAACAACUGUAUAUGGUUACAUAAUUAUACAUAUCAUAUACAUGUUGGGUAAAGUAUCAUCAAUUGCAAACAGAUAGAACCUCUUAUAAAGGGUAUCUCCUGUAUGCACAGCAUGACAUCUUAUAUUCCGUAUACCGUAGUAAAAUAAUAACACUAAUAUUUACUAUAGUGUAUCAAAAUCUAACGGCAUCACGCACCAAAUGCCUCUGGUCCCAUCAUACUUCUCUUAACCAAGAGUUGCUGAAUACGUAUUAAAAAUCUUUUUUAACACAGAACUAAUUAUGUAAAGACAUUGUUUCCAUCUUCUUUAAUACAGAAAAAUUCACUUACGUGGCACGGUUAUCUUUCUGAUAUGAAUUUGUCAGACUAAUCAUCAAUUUGUAAAAAAAAAGUUUCUUUAGUGUAUAUAACGUCACUUGCGCGUCCUUAGAACUUUUGAAAAAUUGAAACACAUCUGCAGUACUUACAGCUUUGGUAAAGUUUACAUUUUUCCUUGAGUAAUUUUGUUUCUCAAAUAUUUUAGUUUUUCGUAAGCUUUUUCAAAGAUCAUAGACAUAUGCAACUCUGGUUUUUAGCGAAGAGUGGACUGACUCUCGGGCAUUUUGGAUUUAUUAUAUUGGUAGAAAUCGAUCAUUUAUACAACAUGUUAGUAUCAAUCGAUACUACAUAUAUGUAUUAUUGCCAAUCGAUACCACAUUAACACGUGUCUCUGAAAUGACAUUUUUUUUACAUUUGUAAAAUAUUGAUUAUUUUCCAAACGCAUAUAUGUCAAAUUCUUUAGACUUUAUGUUAAAAAUUAAA
Molecule: long non-coding RNA, 1928 nt
Filed under: Mytilus galloprovincialis (Mediterranean mussel)
Lineage: Eukaryota; Metazoa; Mollusca; Bivalvia; Mytilida; Mytilidae
Source: RNAcentral